RNAcentral lists this long non-coding RNA (193 nucleotides) under Capra hircus (goat). RNAcentral describes it as "lncRNA (ENSCHIG00010011720.1)". The record is from RNAcentral. Lineage: Eukaryota; Metazoa; Chordata; Mammalia; Artiodactyla; Bovidae.
AUGUUGCCCGAAGGAUGCGGAAGAAAAAGACUUCAGGACUGGAAGCGCUCUUACCCCAAGAUCGGUCACCUUUCCCCUUUCCCAAUUCCCCGCACCAGUUCACACCAGCAACUGAGAUUUAGGCCUGUUUUCCCGAAGGGCCUCGGCCAGUCCCUGCACUUAGUAGGCAUGCAAUAAACCUUGAAAGCCCAAA